RNAcentral lists this transfer-messenger RNA (403 nucleotides) under TM7 phylum sp. oral taxon 352. It matches the Rfam family "transfer-messenger RNA". From Rfam's summary of the family: Bacterial tmRNA, also known as 10Sa RNA or SsrA, is named for its dual tRNA and mRNA-like properties. Its role is to liberate the mRNA from a stalled ribosome. To accomplish this part of the tmRNA is used as a reading frame that ends in a translation stop signal. Lineage: Bacteria; Candidatus Saccharimonadota. The record is from RNAcentral. RNAcentral also lists the same sequence under 1 other name.
GGGGCUGAUAUAGCUUUCGACAAUUGGACCUUAUCAUGACAUUCUGCGAGCCGACGAUACGCGUAACGUAUAUUUUUAGAUGCAAACUUUGUUGCAAAAGCAAAGUCAUUCGUAGCGAGCGCUUUCGCUCCUAAGAUGGUCUUUGCGCCAAUCGCUGCCUAAUUUUUAGCGAUCAUCCUUGUAUUGUGGCAACAGUCAAUAUCUAAGGGUGUUAUAUCUAUGUUGCUAGCUAUAUAUUUGGAAGUAGCGGAUAUAUAGGACUUUUACUACGUAACGAGACUCGGUUUUCUUGGUUUAUUCUAAAUCCGAGUAGCGUUAUUAAAUAAAUUUAGAUAAGCCUAUGCUCGUAGACGGAUGUUGUGAUACCAGUUGGACCCGGGGGCAGUACCCGGCAGCUCCACCA